This is a long non-coding RNA of Bombus huntii, 787 nucleotides long. RefSeq lists it as uncharacterized. The transcript is spliced from 3 exons. Lineage: Eukaryota; Metazoa; Arthropoda; Insecta; Hymenoptera; Apidae. The record is from RefSeq and is a predicted model, not a curated record.
CGAAGGCGGCGCAAAAUGUCAUAAAUGUUUUUCAUUUUUAAAUUUCAGCAAAUAUGUAUUUAGUUGCAUUAAAUUGCAAUAUAUUAUAAUACAGAGUGACCAAAGAGAUGUGCUGAUAGUGUGCGAAUUGAAAUACGUCGCUAGUAUCCAUGCGGAUACAAAUUAUCCUCCAUGUAUUAAUAUGUCGAGUCAAGCUCCGAAUCUGGGCCCGAGUCGUCCUCGUGGCGGGGGCUUGGGACAGAGAAACAUAGAAGUAGAUCGUCAGUGUGGAGGAAAGAAAUCGAUCUGAAGAAUAUGACACUCUGUAUGUCGACAAGUAUCAGGAUGCCAAUCACAGUGAAUUUAAUAUUAUGAUAUUGUUCUGUGGCGACACUCGACGACGAAACUUUCCGACGGCUUCACGACACAAAGCAUAUCACUGAAGCGUAAAGCCGACAUGCCUAAUGAGCCAUCGAUAUCCCUACGGUCCUUCCACCGAAAAUUUGGAAGAAAGCGUACGCGGCAACAAUCGCGGACGCCUAACGAACGCGUGCGUAGUGGGAAUAUCGAGGGGCAACAAAAGAAACGAAUCGGUUAAAAGAGACAUUCGAGUUUAAAAAGCGAAGUGAGAAGAUUCGAGUUUUAACAGAGAAACGAGGAUAAUCGAGAAGCGAGAAAGUCAGCGGUAAACGAGAAUUGUACAAAACGACCUGAAGGCGAAGAUUAUUGAAUAAAUAUAUUGUUGAACAUCGCCGAGUAUUUCUUUGGCACCUUACAUUAAACACCACCACAGUUCACAUUACUAUUA